This 200-nucleotide ribosomal RNA is filed under the name uncultured bacterium. RNAcentral describes it as "partial 16S ribosomal RNA". It matches the Rfam family "Bacterial small subunit ribosomal RNA", at positions 8 to 205 of the family's 1533-position model. The record is from RNAcentral.
AGAGUUUGAUCCUGGCUCAGAACGAACGCUGGCGGCGUGCCUAAUACAUGCAAGUCGAACGAGAAAGUGGCUUCGGCCAUGAGUAAAGUGGCAGACGGGUGAGUAAUACAUAGGCAACUUACCUCUAAGAUGGGGAUAACCUUCCGAAAGGAGGGCUAAUACCGAAUGAGACCACGGUGGCUUUGGUCACUGAGGUUAAA